GAUGAAGAACGUAGCGAAAUGCGAUAAGUAAUGUGAAUUGCAGAAUUCAGUGAAUCAUCGAAUCUUUGAACGCACAUUGCGCCCGCCAGUAUUCUGGCGGGCAUGCCUGUCCGAGCGUCAUUUCAACCAUCAAGCCCCGGGCUUGUGUUGGGGACCUGCGUCCGACGCAGGCCCCGAAAACCAGUGGCGGGCUCGCUGUCCACACCGAGCGUAGUAGCUAACCUCGCUCCGGAGUGGCGCGGGCGCCUGCCGUAAAACCCCCCAAUUUUACAAGGUUGACCUCGGAUCAGGUAGGAAUACCCGCUGAACUUAAGCAUAUCAAUAAGCGGAGGU
This 333-nucleotide unclassified non-coding RNA is filed under the name soil metagenome. RNAcentral describes it as "partial contains 5.8S ribosomal RNA, internal transcribed spacer 2, and large subunit ribosomal RNA". The stretch from base 1 to 120 matches the Rfam family "5.8S ribosomal RNA", at positions 35 to 154 of the family's 154-position model. The record is from RNAcentral.